This 31-nucleotide small RNA is filed under the name Bombyx mori (domestic silkworm). RNAcentral's name for it is "ovarian small RNA-37304". Lineage: Eukaryota; Metazoa; Arthropoda; Insecta; Lepidoptera; Bombycidae. The record is from RNAcentral.
UUCCUCAUAUAUUGCGUUGGCUAAACGCACC